Molecule: long non-coding RNA, 247 nt
Filed under: Lathyrus oleraceus (garden pea)
Lineage: Eukaryota; Viridiplantae; Streptophyta; Magnoliopsida; Fabales; Fabaceae
Description: Pisum sativum (pea) long non-coding RNA (PSAT_LNC013062)
Source: RNAcentral
GUUUUUCAAAAUAUCCAUUCACAAAUUUGUCAUCGAGAUUUUUCGAGUUUAAUCUCUUAACUGAACAAAACUCGUGAUUGUUUACUAAAAAUGUCGGUAAAUAAAAUAAUACUUGUGACAAUCCAAAAUAUGAUAACUUCAAGAUGAUUGAGUUGAUAUAUAGACUGAUAAGUGUUAAAAAAGAGAAAUAAAUCAAAAAAGAAAUUCAAAGAGAGAAUGAAAUAUAAAAAAAAAUUAAAGAGAAAGA